Long non-coding RNA from Astatotilapia calliptera (eastern happy), 1427 nucleotides. The record is from Ensembl. NCBI's taxonomy places the organism in Eukaryota, Metazoa, Chordata, Actinopteri, Cichliformes, Cichlidae.
GGAUCAUUUCAUGUACAGUACAAAUUGUAAGGAAAUUAAUUUGCAUGACAUUUAAAAUCAUAUUAAACUACAGACACAAAAUCAUUCCAAUAUAUAAUGUAUUAUUUGACCUGUUCCAUAAUCACAAGAGUUUCACCAUAUAUGUGCAGCUGUACACACUAAAAACUAGGUUUCGAGAAAAACAUUUCACAUAAAUGGGCGAAAAAGAGACACUGAGCAGAUGGGCCAACUGCAGUCAGACUUUGAGCACUUUAAGUACCCCUUCAGAUAUUUUUGCAGUUUUAUAGCUGUGGUUACAUUUCUCUGUGCAUGCAUGGUUGUAAUUAUUUAUAACGUUUGUAAUUGUAUAGAUACUGAAUAGUAAGGUGAGUUGAGCUGACUACACCCAUCAAAGUUGCCUGUCAAGUUCAUAUGGUCUGCUGUUAACCCUGUGUAAAAAAAUAAUAAUAAUAAAAAUAAAAACAUUAAAAAAAUAUAAUAAUAAAAAUAUGUGCAGUAUUGAGAUGACUGCAAGUCAAAAGUACUGCUUAUAAUAUAUGUGAAUGUACUUAUUUCUACUCUGAAUGUCUGGGGGGGAAAAGCCCCGGACAAUAUCCUGUAUGCACACAAAAAAGUUAGAACUUAUACUUCUGUUUGCCCUGUUGGGCAUUCCUACAGUCUGUCAUCUGCCUCCAUCUCACCCCAUCCCACUUCUGUAACACCAACCUGCUACUUUCAUUACAUCCAUAAACCUCCUCUGCAAUCAUCCUCUUUUUCCUUCUGCCUGGCAUCUUUAUCUUUAACAUGCUUUGCCCGUUGUGUCCACUAUCCAUCCUCACCAUAUGUCCAAGCCAUUUCAACUUUGCUUCAAUGUCCCUCCUAGUCACUCGCAACUAAAAAUUUAGAAUCUUCAGCGCCACCUCCCGUCUUUUUGUCAGUGCCACCGUCUCCAAACCAUACAUCAUCGCAAGUCUUACUAACAUCUUAACUUUCCUUUUGCAUUCUUCUAUGCUUAUGUCGCCAAUCACACCUGACACUAGUGCCCACUCACUCCACCUCGUCCACAACCUCUUCACCACUUCCUGUGUGGACUGUUCGUUGCUUUGGAUGGUUGACCCCCAGGUAUUUUGAACACAAAUCAGCUCGAACUAAUACUGAAACUUAAUGAAAACUUAACUAAAACGAGCAAACUAACUGAAUUAUGUCAGCAAACUAACUUGGAGAUUAGCAAGCACCUACUAUCCCCAGGUGUAAUUUAAGUUAAGGUGACACGCGGUGCAUGAAGUCCAAGCUGUAGCUGCUUAGAAGCGAAAAGUAUUUCCAACUUUAGCAAACUGUAAAUCAGUUAAAACCGUAAAUACAUGAGAAAAAAAUAAAUGAAAAGGAAAAAUAGUUAAUAAACAUAGUGUCUACUUACCAAAGUCGUUAACAACCGCUUAAUUUUAUCG